AGCCGGGUCGUCUAGCGGCCAAGGAUGGUGGGCUCUGGACCCACUGACCCCGGUUCGAAUCCGGGCCCGGCUACCA
Molecule: transfer RNA, 76 nt
Filed under: Caldivirga maquilingensis IC-167
Lineage: Archaea; Thermoproteati; Thermoproteota; Thermoprotei; Thermoproteales; Thermoproteaceae
Also listed under: 5 other names
Description: tRNA-Gln (CTG) (tRNA-Gln-CTG-1-1)
Rfam family: tRNA
About the family: Transfer RNA (tRNA) molecules are approximately 80 nucleotides in length. Their secondary structure includes four short double-helical elements and three loops (D, anti-codon, and T loops).
Source: RNAcentral